Ailuropoda melanoleuca (giant panda) is the source of this 415-nucleotide long non-coding RNA. RefSeq lists it as uncharacterized. The record is from RefSeq and is a predicted model, not a curated record. Lineage: Eukaryota; Metazoa; Chordata; Mammalia; Carnivora; Ursidae. The transcript is spliced from 3 exons.
GACCGUGUGACAGUUCCCAGUGGGGGCUUCAAGGGCCAUUGCUGAUCCUGAGGCUAACUUGUGCCACCACCUCGACAAUGGAAAAGCAUGUCCCAUGGGGUCGCUGUGUCCUCAGCCUGGGCCCUGGGAUGGCAGACCCUGGAGCAAACCUGGAUGGAAGCCCAGUCGAGCCCAGAAGAGCCACAGCCAACCCACAGACCGGUGAAGGAAUGGAAGACUUAGAGACACAGAGACCAAACAAAGCAGGAACUCCGGUCUUCUGGCUGCUAGACCACGAGUUUCCAUUUCUGUAAUUCAAGAGGCUCAGAGUUAACAUCCGAACCCUAACGUACCACCAUGUCUUCGGCACCAAUGGGAAAGACAAGUCCUCCCAGGGGCAUGAUGUCCAUAAAUCAAAUCAAAAUAUAAAUCAUCC